GGGUUGUGAGGUUAAGCGAACAAGCGUACACGGUGGAUGCCCUGGCAGUCAGAGGCGAUGAAGGACGUGCUAAUCUGCGAAAAGCGCCGGUAAGGUGAUAUGAACCGUUAUAACCGGCGAUGUCCGAAUGGGGAAACCCGGUGCACUUCGGUGCAUCAUCGUUAGCUGAAUACAUAGGCUAACGAGGCGAACCGGGGGAACUGAAACAUCUAAGUACCCCGAGGAAAAGAAAUCAACCGAGAUUCCCCCAGUAGCGGCGAGCGAACGGGGAACAGCCCAGAGCCUGAAUCAGCUUGUGUGUCAGUGGAACGGUCUGGAAAGGCCGGCGAUACAGGGUGACAGCCCCGUACACGAAGGCACACAGG
This 365-nucleotide ribosomal RNA is filed under the name Cronobacter sakazakii. Its description in RNAcentral is "partial 23S ribosomal RNA". It matches the Rfam family "Bacterial large subunit ribosomal RNA", at positions 1 to 393 of the family's 2925-position model. The record is from RNAcentral. Lineage: Bacteria; Pseudomonadati; Pseudomonadota; Gammaproteobacteria; Enterobacterales; Enterobacteriaceae.